AGAGUUUGAUCCUGGCUCAGGACGAACGCUGGCGGCGUGCUUAACACAUGCAAGUCGAACGAUGAAGCCCUUCGGGGUGGAUUAGUGGCGAACGGGUGAGUAACACGUGGGCAAUCUGCCCUUCACUCUGGGACAAGCCCUGGAAACGGGGUCUAAUACCGGAUAACACUGCGGACCGCAUGGUCUGUGGUUGAAAGCUCCGGCGGUGAAGGAUGAGCCCGCGGCCUAUCAGCUUGUUGGUGAGGUAGUGGCUCACCAAGGCGACGACGGGUAGCCGGCCUGAGAGGGCGACCGGCCACACUGGGACUGAGACACGGCCCAGACUCCUACGGGAGGCAGCAGUGGGGAAUAUUGCACAAUGGGCGAAAGCCUGAUGCAGCGACGCCGCGUGAGGGAUGACGGCCUUCGGGUUGUAAACCUCUUUCAGCAGGGAAGAAGCGAAAGUGACGGUACCUGCAGAAGAAGCGCCGGCUAACUACGUGCCAGCAGCCGCGGUAAUACGUAGGGCGCAAGCGUUGUCCGGAAUUAUUGGGCGUAAAGAGCUCGUAGGCGGCUUGUCACGUCGGUUGUGAAAGCCCGGGGCUUAACCCCGGGGUCUGCAGUCGAUACGGGCAGGCUAGAGUGUGGUAGGGGAGAUCGGAAUUCCUGGUGUAGCGGUGAAAUGCGCAGAUAUCAGGAGGAACACCGGUGGCGAAGGCGGAUCUCUGGGCCAUUACUGACGCUGAGGAGCGAAAGCGUGGGGAGCGAACAGGAUUAGAUACCCUGGUAGUCCACGCCGUAAACGGUGGGCACUAGGUGUUGGCGACAUUCCACGUCGUCGGUGCCGCAGCUAACGCAUUAAGUGCCCCGCCUGGGGAGUACGGCCGCAAGGCUAAGACUCAAAGGAAUUGACGGGGGCCCGCACAAGCAGCGGAGCAUGKKGSYUAAUUCGACGCAACGCGAAGAACCUUACCAAGGCUUGACAUACGCCGGAAAACCCUGGAGACAGGGUCCCCCUUGUGGUCGGUGUACAGGAGGUGCAUGGCUGUCGUCAGCUCGUGUCGUGAGAUGUUGGGUUAAGUCCCGCAACGAGCGCAACCCUUGUUCUGUGUUGCCAGCAUGCCCUUCGGGGUGAUGGGGACUCACAGGAGACUGCCGGGGUCAACUCGGAGGAAGGUGGGGACGACGUCAAGUCAUCAUGCCCCUUAUGUCUUGGGCUGCACACGUGCUACAAUGGCAGGUACAAAGAGCUGCGAAGCCGUGAGGCGGAGCGAAUCUCAAAAAGCCUGUCUCAGUUCGGAUUGGGGUCUGCAACUCGACCCCAUGAAGUCGGAGUUGCUAGUAAUCGCAGAUCAGCAUUGCUGCGGUGAAUACGUUCCCGGGCCUUGUACACACCGCCCGUCACGUCACGAAAGUCGGUAACACCCGAAGCCGGUGGCCCAACCCCUUGUGGGAGGGAGCUGUCGAAGGUGGGACUGGCGAUUGGGACGAAGUCGUAACAAGGUAACC
RNAcentral lists this ribosomal RNA (1488 nucleotides) under Streptomyces sp. z61. Its description in RNAcentral is "bacterial SSU rRNA". It matches the Rfam family "Bacterial small subunit ribosomal RNA". Lineage: Bacteria; Bacillati; Actinomycetota; Actinomycetes; Kitasatosporales; Streptomycetaceae. The record is from RNAcentral.